UGGCGGACGGGUGAGUAACACGUGAGUAACCUACCUUUCAAAGGGGGAUAACGUCUGGAAACGGACGCUAAUACCGCAUAAUACUAUUUGAGGGCAUCCUUGGAUAGUCAAAGGAGAAAUCCGAUGGGAGAUGGACUCGCGGCUGAUUAGAUAGUUGGCGGGGUAGAGGCCCACCAAGUCGACGAUCAGUAGCCGGACUGAGAGGUUGAACGGCCACAUUGGGACUGAGACACGGCCCAGACUCCUACGGGAGGCAGCAG
This 260-nucleotide ribosomal RNA is filed under the name uncultured bacterium. Its description in RNAcentral is "partial 16S ribosomal RNA". It matches the Rfam family "Bacterial small subunit ribosomal RNA", at positions 96 to 354 of the family's 1533-position model. The record is from RNAcentral.